GGAUGUGAGGGCGAUCUGGCUGCAACCUCUGUCACCCCAUUGAUUGCCAGGGUUGAUUCGGCUGAUCUGGCUGGCUAGGCGGUGUCCCCUUCCUCACCGCUCCAGUGCGCUCGGUGGAAGAGGACGACCUUCCCCCAAUAAAGGAGGACCGGUCUUCGGUCAAGGGCAUGCUAGAACCUCCAAACAAGCUCUCAAAGAGAAGAGAAACAGGGAGAGAGGGAAUAUGUGAGCAUGCCAGGGCCUCCAGCCAUUGCAAAUGAACGCCAGACACAUGUGCCACUGGGCUUCUGGCUCUACGU
This 299-nucleotide small nuclear RNA is filed under the name Jaculus jaculus (lesser Egyptian jerboa). Its description in RNAcentral is "7SK RNA (ENSJJAG00000005505.1)". It matches the Rfam family "7SK RNA". Rfam says of the family: 7SK was discovered as an abundant small nuclear RNA in the mid-70s but a possible function has only recently been suggested. The record is from Rfam by way of RNAcentral. Lineage: Eukaryota; Metazoa; Chordata; Mammalia; Rodentia; Dipodidae.